Molecule: ribosomal RNA, 429 nt
Filed under: uncultured bacterium
Lineage: Bacteria
Description: bacterial SSU rRNA
Rfam family: Bacterial small subunit ribosomal RNA
Source: RNAcentral
UCGAGAAGCUUCGGCAAUGGGCGAAAGCCUGACCGAGCGACGCCGCGUGAGCGAUGAAGGUCCUAUGGAUUGUAAAGCUCUGUCAGAUUGGGAAGAAAACUUCGCGAUUAAUACCCGCGAAGCUUGACGGUACCAUCAGAGGAAGCACCGGCUAACUCCGUGCCAGCAGCCGCGGUAAUACGGAGGGUGCGAGCGUUGUUCGGAUUCACUGGGUAUAAAGGGUGCGUAGGCGGCCUGGUAAGUCAGGGGUGAAAUAUGACGGCUCAACCGUCAAACUGCCCCUGAAACUGCAAGGCUUGAGUCCGGGAGAGGAAGGUGGAAUUCCUGGUGUAGCGGUGAAAUGCGUAAAUAUCAGGAGGAACACCGGUGGCGAAGGCGGCCUUCUGGUCCGGUACUGACGCUGAGGCACGAAAGCUAGGGGAGCGAACA